Non-coding RNA from Podarcis lilfordi (Lilford's wall lizard), 3128 nucleotides. NCBI's taxonomy places the organism in Eukaryota, Metazoa, Chordata, Lepidosauria, Squamata, Lacertidae. The record is from the annotation of a GenBank genome assembly.
CACUUCUGAGUGGCAAGUGUAGGCGGUAAUAUCGAUGUUGGCCUCAGAAGGUUUUUUUUUUCCUGUUGAAAGAAUUAAAUGAACAUUGAGGAUUACCAUAAUUCAUUGUGUGCCACAGAGGCUCACAGAAAAGAAGCCGAGAACGACACUUUGCGUGAGAGAUAUUUACUAGGACAUUGUUCUCCCUGUUAGUGUUUGCUCUUUGUUAGCAAGGGUGGGGGGACCCUCUUAUAUUCAGAAAUAGAUCCUGCAAAAUAAAGUGGUGCAGUAUAAUGGCCAGUAUAAUAGGUUUUGCUGUGAUCACAACUGAGACGUUGCAUAGUGUAUGUAGGCACAGUUUAAUGCAAAAUCCAUUUCUGACAGUGUAAUUCCCCCUUUUUUAAAAAAAAAGGAAAGGAAAAUACUUUGCUCCUCUGUAGGUUUAUUCUUGCUUUAUAAUGAGCACAAAGAAAUCUUUACUUGAUUUAUUUUCCCAACACAUGCUCAGGUUUGAAUUCUCCCUCUAAAAUAAAUCAAGCUCUCUACAGAAACUUUCGCUUUGACUCAUCAAUUAAGAAAAGAAGGGGAGGAAAGCCACAGCAACUGCUCUAAUUGUUGUGAACGCCUAAUAAGCAUGAUCCAUAUAAGAACACAGAUUUUAGGGUGCAUGUGGUUUUCCUUUUGUUUUGUCUGAGAUAGAGGAUAAGCUGAGGAAAUAUUGUUGCAAUACUAUAUUGGGAACAGAGGAGGCAUUUGCUGGGUCCAUAUUGCAAAGUAGACUCACAUGAUCAAUAUAUUCUGGAGUGAUUUGCUGAUCUGAAUGUAGUCCUUAUUUGGAAUCCUUAUUUGUGAAUUACAUUAGGUAGCGUGUAUACACAGGGUUGGCUCAAGACAUCUUGCUGCCUGAAGCAAAGGACAAGAUUGUGUCCCCUUCCCAUUCCAGACACAGAGCGGCAGCUGAAUCCUACUUCAACUCUGGUGAUGGGAUAGAAUGCAGGUUUAGGUAGCCCAGGACGGGAUGCAUAGCACACUCAGAUCUGUCUUCCAACAGAGGGGAUGACUGGAGGUCUUAGGAGGAACACCCAAGAGGCUGCUUCUGACCCCGCGACUCUGACACUUUAGGCCUCACUUUGCCUAAUGGUAGGGCUGCCCCUGGGUGUAUAUAUUGUUACAAGCCAUCCCAAUCUCUGAGCGGUGCAAGAUUCCAGGGGUUCCAGGUGCACUUACCAGGGUUUGUGUAUCCUUUUGGAAAACAUGAGGGACAGAGGGGACUGUGGUGCCUUUAUGAUAUAUGGUUUGUUUACAUAUAUAUACAACCUGCACUUAGAUGGAGAGUAUGCAGAACUUUCGCAUCCCUUCCAUUGCUGCAGCCCCCAUUUCAAAGAGAACCCAACCAUUGUGUCUGACCCUCUGACUAGCUGAUCAGUAGCGCCUGUAAGCCCUCUUUGACCCAGCCACACCUUUACCUGUUCCUGACAUCAUAUAUUACAGUGGGCCACAGGUUCUGAACCUUGUGCUAGGGCAUGGGAGCAUCUGAAAUAAGCCUAGAAUUCGACUGAUAUUACUGAGGUACUUCCUUUUUUGUAGGCUAUUCCUAAUGAAUCUGUCUUGCUGUGCAAAGGCAUAAAAACCGUGAACAAAGAAGCAGAUAGGCUCCUAUCUUAACAAAGGUAAGGAAAAGCUAAUCUCUAUUAAUUUGUUUUUCAAAAAAGAAAAACUUUUCUCAAGGGCCUUAAGUGACAGGAAAGAAACUUUUUUUGUAAGAGGAGCUGAAUUUUAAGAAUAAAUUUAAAAGUUAAAGUGCACCAGAUUAAUCACCACCCUUGUAGCUCAUUUGCAGAAGCACUGAAGCAGCCUACAAAGCUUAUACUAAUCUGUUUUCAGUCCCGGUAUCUUCAUUUCUUACAAAUUAAAUAUAUUCAGUGUCAAUGCAGAAUUAAGGUUUUUUUAUGUGUAUGAAAUGAAGGAAGGAAGGAAGGAAAAAAACUGUAUGGAGGAAUUUAUAACACUGUUUUCCUGCAAGCUAUCAGAAAUAUAUAUAUAUAUAUUUAUCAGCAUUCAUUCUCCCAAGCCCCCUCCUGCAUUUUCUGACUUGAUUUGACGCUAAAGCCACUGAAUAAGGUCUGAAUUUUCACGAGCUGGAAGCAUUAUAAAUUGCAGUGUUAACAAAUGCCUGGACCUGAAAUGAACUGAGCCAAAUUAGAUACAGACCUAGGUUGGAUCCAAAGCACUUUGGAGUUACUGAGAGCUUUUCCAUUGACCUUUGUUAAAACCUGGUGCAGCUUCAGUAGUUUUAAUGGGGUUGGAGUUGCUGCAGAAUAACUGCGUUCUCAUUCAUAUGAACUCAUGCAAUUCUCUUGCUAGGGGUAGCACAAUAGAUAAUGAAAGGCAAUGAAGGCCAGUCCUAAUGGGGCUCUUUUCUGUAUUAUAGUAGGAAUCAUGCACCAGAGUAGCCCAUCAUCUUAGGGUAAUUUGGGGGUGAUUAUUUUACCUGCUUUUUUUUAAAGUCUACAGGAUGGUUUCAAUACUUUAAUUUGAAUUAGUCCGGCAUCUUAAGUUACAACAGGUGUGGGGAAUCUUCAGUCCUCUAGAUGUUGCUGAAUUACAACUCCCACCAUCCUCAGCAAGCCUGACCAAUGACCAGCAAUGAUGAGAAUUGUGGUUCAGCAACAUCUGGUGGGCCAAAGAGUCCCCACGCCUGAUUUACAAUCUCCCGACACAACAUCCUUAUUGCCAUGUUUUAUUCUCACCAAAUAUACAAAUUGUCGCUUUGCUGUUUUUCGUAAAAUUAUCUGAAGGAGAAAAUUGUCAUGCAAACCAUUUGUGACCUUGAGGUUGAUCCUCAAUGCUGUCAAAAGGGAAAUAAAAGACCUUUCAUCUAAAGUCUACCACUUUUUUUUAAGCUGAAUCAUUUGGUUCUGAUCUUUCUUUCUUUCGACAGGGCAGCCUGAUCCUGGCCCAGCCUCAUCUACACCAACCGAAGGCAUGGCAAUGGCUUUGCUAAGACCUUUCUGAAACUGUGGAAGUUAGCUUGGGAAAUAUGUUAUUGUAUUCUGUGGUGACAGAUAAUAAUUGUACCUGAAACCCUGUAAUGAUAAGACAAUACAGAUAGCUUUUCCAUUCAGGAGGUUGUUUUUAUAUUAGAUACA